RNAcentral lists this transfer RNA (75 nucleotides) under Phaeocystidibacter marisrubri. RNAcentral's name for it is "tRNA-Ala". It matches the Rfam family "tRNA". Rfam says of the family: Transfer RNA (tRNA) molecules are approximately 80 nucleotides in length. Their secondary structure includes four short double-helical elements and three loops (D, anti-codon, and T loops). Lineage: Bacteria; Pseudomonadati; Bacteroidota; Flavobacteriia; Flavobacteriales; Phaeocystidibacteraceae. The record is from RNAcentral.
GGGGGAUUAGCUCAGUUGGCUAGAGCGCCUGCUUUGCAAGCAGGAGGUCAUCGGUUCGACUCCGAUAUUCUCCAC